Long non-coding RNA from Papaver somniferum (opium poppy), 1414 nucleotides. RefSeq lists it as uncharacterized. The record is from RefSeq and is a predicted model, not a curated record. The transcript is spliced from 3 exons. NCBI's taxonomy places the organism in Eukaryota, Viridiplantae, Streptophyta, Magnoliopsida, Ranunculales, Papaveraceae.
CACUCUUUCUCUCUCACGGUUGUGUCUUCUGAAAUCUUGAUUUUUUGAUUGUUUUGUUAACUUUUGAUUUCUUGAUUUAUUUGACAACUUCUGAAAACACAAGUUGUCGUAACUUUUUUUUUUUACUGAUUUGAGAUGAUUCUCUAUAUAAGGGUUCUUUCGGUUAUAGCAAACUGAUUAAAUAUUUGUUUUGUUGUAUGAGAAUGUUGAUGUUACAGCAAUUGCUGGGAGUGGUUGAAAUACUUCAAUUGAUGACCAAUUGUCAUCAUUUAUAGAAGAGAAACCAGCUGGAAAAGCAUGAAGAUGAAUUUUGCAUUUUAAACUAGCUAGAGAUGUCAAGCGAGAAGAGCAAACUUGGUGAUCAAAUUUCGCAGCUAAUUAGACACAUUAAUUGGAGCAAUAUGAUAAGUAAACGGGCACGGUACUUCGGAUGGGUUUCCAGAUAUGCUCUAUCUCUCCAAAGCGGUAAUUGAGGAAGGUAAGGCCUGGAUUACUCGGGUCGGCAUCUCUCAAAAGUGUUACAAUCUUGAUGUCAUGGAGAUCAAUGAUGUGACCAGAUUGGAUUUGCAUACUCUACCAUAAUGGUGAUUAACUAUGUAUGGUUGUUCCUAAGAACUUGAUUUUCUUUGAUGAAAAUUAUUCCUUUCACAAUUUCAUCGUUGAUGACGAAGAGAAACUUCCAUCCCUGUAGGAAUCAACACUGUGUCUUCUUAAAGUGGGAUACCGAUAUGAAGGUUCUCAGUAGAAAUUCCAGGGAAACCCCUCACCACAAGUUUAAGCUAACAAUUCAAAAAUUUGUUUAUUAGAUUCUGAGGAAAAGGGUUGCUAUAUAUUAUUGCUAGGCUACAGUUUAUGUUGUUGCUAUUUGAAGGUCCAAAGGAAGAAUCCACUCAUCGAGACGGGGUUAUUCGGAACAUCACACGUUGAUCAACUAGUAUUCAUCUGCUUCUUACGUUCCACUAAUAUGAUAUGCCUAACCCACUAUAUCACUCAAAAUUAGCACAACAUCAUCAAGGAAAGUUAUUAUAGAUUCAAGAGAAAUGGUCAGUCUAAAAGCACAAAAUUGGUACUUGAUUGCUAAUGGAUAACAAGGAGGUUGACAACGAAGAACAAAUAUAGUUGGAAUAAGAACAAGCAAAAUGAAAAACAUGAAUAUGGUGGGAAGAACUUGGUCUUAAUGUAGAGGGCCGUCUCUACUUUCUGGAUCUCGAUGAUAAGCAUCCUCCGCAUUUUGAGCAAAAACAUUUCUGCCGCUAGAAAUCUGAUUUGGUAACACAAAUGCCAAGACAUGAUAUAUAGAGCGGUUCUUCAAUGAUGCAAACCUGGUACGCUGUCCUCAAAACUUCAACUUAGAAUUGUAUUUAUAUAUGUGGAUAGAUAGACUGGUAGGGAGGACUAAUGUUUAUUAUUCUUU